AGCUGUGCAAUCCCACUCCUCAAUUGAUUUCGUAGUUGGUAUAUCUGUUUUACCACCUUCAGAUUUAAGAAGCAUGUUCCGUACCGUGAUACUGUCAUCCCAUGGAAUGAAUCCUGGUCUUACAGCAACCUUGCUGUCCCACAUGGUGAUAAAAAUUUGACGCAACACCUUGGGAAACUCAUCAAGAACAAGUGUAGAAAACUUAAAAAAAUUCAAUUGUUCCUUCGGAAAUGGUUUCACUGCCAUCGUGGUGCAAAAUCUAGGCCAUUUAAUUUCUUUCUGUACCAACUAUCU
Non-coding RNA from Paramuricea clavata, 294 nucleotides. The record is from the annotation of a GenBank genome assembly. Lineage: Eukaryota; Metazoa; Cnidaria; Anthozoa; Malacalcyonacea; Plexauridae.